Molecule: non-coding RNA, 144 nt
Organism: Clostridium argentinense CDC 2741
Lineage: Bacteria; Bacillati; Bacillota; Clostridia; Eubacteriales; Clostridiaceae
Source: Rfam
AAUCCUUUUAAGUUUGAUCCUGUGAGAUCAGAAAGGGAAGAUAGUAGUGUUAUGUAGGUAUAUAGGUGUAGCUAUAAUUAUAGCUGUAGCUAUAUGUUUAUAGUAAAGAAAAAUGCUUUCCUUUCAGGAAAGCAUUUUUUAUUU